CAUGACUGGUAGCUAGAAGUAAAGGAGAUGUGGAACUGGAAAGGGCAAAAGAAAUGGAAGGAAAGAGGUGAAAGAAAUAAAAUGAACAACGCUUCUGCGCCUGCUCUUCUGGAUAAUGGUAUAAGGUGUUGGUUUUCAUCUGAAGCAGGCCGAGGUUGAGAAAUAACAGAGACAAACUGGAAUGGAGAUGCCGAGAUGGUAUAGGUAUGACACGUGUAAAAAUUGUACACUUGCCAAUAUAUGUGAUGAAUGCAGAUAGAUAUGACAGAAACAAUGGCUGGGACACGAGUAACAGGCAGAAGUAGCAGGACUAUAUAGUUGUAAGAAAAAAUUAAAGGAAAAAAAGAGAGAGAAAACCAAGUGGCCUCUUUUUGACCACUUAAAUUUGACUGAAAAGACUAGCACUGAUGGCCCCUGCGGCAGCCAAGAACACCGGAAUUAGCAGUCAUUGCUCCGACCAUGGAAGAAGACUUGGCACCCAAGCUUGAAGCGCGAGC
RNAcentral lists this long non-coding RNA (497 nucleotides) under Populus trichocarpa (black cottonwood). RNAcentral describes it as "long non-coding RNA (PTRI_LNC001029)". The record is from RNAcentral. Lineage: Eukaryota; Viridiplantae; Streptophyta; Magnoliopsida; Malpighiales; Salicaceae.